UGUCACUUUUGACACUUGACAGAUAGAGAUUGUUUCAGAACAAUGUUGUGUGUUUAGUUAAAUGUUAAUAAAUAAAAGUAAUGUUCCAGAUUAGAUUCAAGACAAUAUUGAAUCUACUAGAUUCUUAUAUGUACUCCAGGAAUGUGUAACUGUGCUCGUUACAGUUUUGUGGCAAACAUGGACUAACAGGUUGUGUGUUGUACGACAUUUUCGAAGAAAUAUCAGUGACCAGAAAUGGAGACUGGUUUAGCAGCGUGAAGUAUAAGGAUCUCAUCACAUAUGGUGACAAUGCCAAAGAUAUGUUGGAAUAUGCGGCUGACAACUGGCUACGUGCUAAACAGUCCAUUUGGGAUGUGAUGCAAAACCAUGUGCGUUACAGUAUAUCGCUUGUUCAGAUUUCUGGCGAAAGGUCUGUGGAGUCCUGUUUGGUGUUUCCAAAGUUUGGUAUUGGAUUCUUUAUUAAGUAAAUAACGAUACGACACGACAUUGUAUAUAUUUAUAUGACCAGACAACUGAUUAAAAUUUACAAGUUUAGAUCAUAUUCAUACACGAGUACCUAUUAGGCAACAAAGGCAAGUAGUAAAUAAACAAGUUUUGUUAAUAGAUAUACCAACACAGGAUUUGGACCAGAUAUUCAGCAUAUUAAUUCCUUACUACAUAAGCUUUUCAGUGUUACACAUCUGUAAAGUGCAGUCAUUGUUAAUAUGAUAACAGCAAAGUCAUAGUAAGAUAUAUUUAACUAUGUAUAUUUAAAUUUUCAGUAAGUAACUAUACAUAAUUAUUUAUGAACAAUGAUGUAAAAUUUAUGCACAGAUUAUAGUGGUUCUCACUAGAUAAGUGACAGAAGUCUGUAGCCUAAAGAUAUGUUUAACGAUUAUAGCGCAUUUGCGUUAAGUUUGCAUAUUUAUCUUUAUAUUUACUUGUAGAACUGUGUAUGAUACAGGAAUUUAAAACUAUGUGAAACUUGUUGAGAUGUUUUUCACUAUUUAUUAUUUAUUUUGAAAUAUGCUAUUUUUAUGGUGCAAAGGAAAAUUCUAAAGCUCCGGCUUGUCCAAGAAAGCUAUACUACGUUACAAUUUCACUAUUUGUUGAUGCUUUUGACAAUCUGGUCGCAUUAAACACUUUUAGGUACAAGUUGUUAAUAAUACUUAUAGGGGUAAUAAAAGUGGCAUUUAAACUAAUAUUUUUACCUAAACUAAAUAAUAUAAAAUGUUAUUUUAUAGAAUGUAGCAAGCUAAGAGUUUUAGUUACUAAAAGUUGUUAUUUGCAGUGCCCAUACAGGGUUCAUAACUGUUUCUUAUUCAAAUGUACCACCUUAUGUAUGUACCUAUGAAAGCAACUAAUGACUGAUUACUGAUUAAAAUUAUGGAAUAGAAUGUUAGGAAUUUGAUAAGGUAACUGGCUCCUAUAUAAAUAUUUUAAACUACUAAAUUAUUGCAUGGAAUUUUUAUGAAAAUAAUAUAUUCUACAUGUAUUUAACUGUAGAGGGUUAAUAUACAACUGAUUUUAUAUGUAUGGAUAAUUGCUAGUAUACCUACUCUCUCUUCCUCGCGUUAUCCCGGCAUUUUGCCACGGCUCAUGGGAGCCUGGGGUCCGCUUGACAGCUAAUCCCAAGAAUUUACGUAGGCACUAGUUUUUACGGAAGCGACUGCAUCUGACCUUCCAAACCAGAGGGGAAACUAGGCUUAUUGGGAUAAUUGCUAGUAUACAUUGUAAUACAAUUUAAUUUUAAAGAAAGAGAGAGGAAAUAGAUAAUAAUAAUAAAUGUCAUGUAUGUAAAUACUAAUAAGUAAGAAACAGUUAUUGUUACAGAUGUUACAUGUUAUUGAUGUGUCAGUGAGCAGUCUACCUUAACCAUGUUAAGGACUAUAU
This is a long non-coding RNA of Cydia splendana, 1872 nucleotides long. RefSeq lists it as uncharacterized. The record is from RefSeq and is a predicted model, not a curated record. The transcript is spliced from 3 exons. NCBI's taxonomy places the organism in Eukaryota, Metazoa, Arthropoda, Insecta, Lepidoptera, Tortricidae.